GACGAACGCUGGCGGCGUGCUUAACACAUGCAAGUCGAACGGACAGGCCCUGCUUGCCGGGUACUCGAGUGGCGAACGGGUGAGUAACACGUGGGUGAUCUGCCCUGCACUUCGGGAUAAGCUUGGGAAACUGGGUCUAAUACCGGAUAGGACCGCACUUUAGUGUGUGUGGUGGAAAGUUUUUUCGGUGUAGGAUGAGCUCGCGGCCUAUCAGCUUGUUGGUGGGGUAAUGGCUUACCAAGGCGGCGACGGGUAGCCGGCCUGAGAGGGUGUACGGCCACAGUGGGACCGAGAGAAGGCCCAGACUCCGACGGGAGGCAGAAGGGGGGAAGAUUGCACGAGGGGCGCAAGCCUGAUGCAGCGACGCCGCGGAGGGGAUGAAGGUCUUCGGGUUGUAAAAUACUUUCGCUAGGGACGAAGCUUUUUGUGACGGUACCUAGACAAGAAGCACCGGCUAACUACGUG
RNAcentral lists this ribosomal RNA (465 nucleotides) under uncultured bacterium. RNAcentral's name for it is "partial 16S ribosomal RNA". It matches the Rfam family "Bacterial small subunit ribosomal RNA", at positions 28 to 507 of the family's 1533-position model. The record is from RNAcentral.